This 579-nucleotide long non-coding RNA is filed under the name Trifolium pratense (red clover). RNAcentral's name for it is "long non-coding RNA (TPRA_LNC006119)". Lineage: Eukaryota; Viridiplantae; Streptophyta; Magnoliopsida; Fabales; Fabaceae. The record is from RNAcentral.
CUACACAGUUCACAUACCGUCACACUAUGGGAUCCACCGAAAACAAUUAAUCCUCAUCCACAAUUUGUUAGAUGCAAAAAUCAUCUCUCCCAACACACUCACCAUGCACUUCUUAGUUCCUAUGUCAGUCUAGGGGAUGCAAAAAAUAUUUUAUAAAACUUGUUUAUUACUAGAGAAUUUGGGCUAUGUCUUUCUCUAUAACUAUGGUUAAUCAUAGAAACUCUUUUUUGGUAAAACACAAAUAAAUCAUAGAAACUCUUUUAGGGUAUUCUAUUGCUUUGAACAUAAAAAACAAAUUUAGCAUGGAAGCAUUUUAUUUUCUAGAAUGGAUUAGAGAACAGGUAGAGAGGUUGGUUAUAAGGAGAGAAGGUUGCAGAAGGUUGGUGGAAAGUGGAAACAAAAUAAAGUGAGAGUGGCAAAUUGGAAAAAAAGUUAGUCGCAUGGGUCAAUUUUAUUUGAGUUUGUUUUAUUUAGUUAGUACGGAGUAUUACUUAAGCGUGUUUUAGGAUUUCAAUCAAAUUAAUAGUCAAUUCGUGAUAUUCGGGAAUUCAUUUUUCGGGACAUAUAGCAAUGCUCUUA